Molecule: non-coding RNA, 99 nt
Organism: Mucidula mucida
Lineage: Eukaryota; Fungi; Basidiomycota; Agaricomycetes; Agaricales; Physalacriaceae
Source: the annotation of a GenBank genome assembly
UCCGAUAUGGUGUAACGGCUAACAUUGCCGCCUUUCAUAAGCUCAAUGCUCAUUCAACUGGUCACGCGGCAGCUCGGGGUUCGAUUCCCCGUAUCGGAA